UGUAAAAUGAGGGUUACAAAUAUGUACACUAAUUUAUCAUUUAUUUAUGCGCUGUAAAUAACAAUUAGUACCACCAAUUUUUUAAAUGAUAAAAAUGUACUAAACAGCUUGAUAGAUAUAAAACUUGAUUUUGUCGCGCUUUCAGCUCGGUUGCAUCUGCCUUUACCGGCUUUACGAUACGAAACCUACUCUCCGAAGUCAAAACGAGAACCCAUUCGUGGAACCUCACUCCCCGAGUGCAACUGCCGACGACCGGAAAUGACCUUGCUCAACUCAGAAGAGUACUCUUUUAAGAUUUGUUUUCGUGUCUGCGUUGACAAGAUCUUCCAGAGAAACUGGAGGAAUGUGAUAGUCUGCAAUCGGAUGUGGCAGAAUGAAACCUUUGAACACGGACGAAGCAAUGCUGAAGCGCAACUGCUGAUUCUGCUCGCCGGUAACCUACUGUGAUCUACAGGAAUGUCAAGCGAAAUCCAUGAGAUCGUGGCUGGGAUGUCUGGUAUCUUCAAUCCUCCUUGAGGAUAUUAGCCGUAGGAUGCUGUGAGAAGGGAUUGUACAUCAGUACCGUCGGUGAUCCAGUCCUGAGUGCCUGAUCGACUCUGGUGCGUACAGCGAUUCGCACUUUCGCCAUUCAGAGAUGGAAAUAAUAACAGAUUACAAUCAUCACUGGAUAUGGAAAAGAAUACAAGAUUGAUAUUGUUAAGAAUGAAUCUGUACACCGUCUGGUAAUGAAUGUGUAUACCGCAGUUUGGUUGAUAAUUAAGAUUGGUAAUUAAUUGGUAUAAUUCUUGUAAUUACAAACGAUUUUGGAAUAGUACAUAAAUACUGGCACUGUUUGCGUCGUUAAUCUCCGUCAUUGUUCCGGCAUAUUUUCGAUCUCCGUAAAAAUGCUCGUAACCUUUAUGUUAAAAAAAGCUUUGAAGCCGGCAUUGUAUCCUUCAGUAAUGAACUGAAGCGAAUAUUAAUUACUCUUUAAGAACAUGGCAUUCAUCAUAGGAGAAAUUAAAACAGUUCUCAUUCGUUACUGAGCAAGAAUUCCGAAUCUCCAAUAAAACAUGCGCAAUGUAUUUCUCAAUAAACUCUUUAUCACCGGUCCCGUUGGCAUGUUUUUCAAAGCACUCCGUCAUAUCCACCAAUCGAAGGCUUAAACUG
Molecule: long non-coding RNA, 1149 nt
Organism: Paramacrobiotus metropolitanus
Lineage: Eukaryota; Metazoa; Tardigrada; Eutardigrada; Parachela; Macrobiotidae
Exons: 3
Source: RefSeq, a predicted model, not a curated record